This 3269-nucleotide long non-coding RNA is filed under the name Gossypium raimondii (Peruvian cotton). RNAcentral describes it as "long non-coding RNA (GRAI_LNC007930)". The record is from RNAcentral. Lineage: Eukaryota; Viridiplantae; Streptophyta; Magnoliopsida; Malvales; Malvaceae.
UAGUAUCUUGUCUAGGCUUGGACUUCAGCCUAUUAAAAUUAACCCCAAAUAAAUAAAACCCAAAUCGAAUAAAAAGGGAAGUAACCCAAAAUUUAUCGUAUUAGCUAGAAUCUAGAAACCCUAAAACUGAAAGCAAAGCAGAUACUUAUUAUAAUUGUUGUUGUUAUUGUUGUUGUUGAGUUUUGCCAUCACUUUUAGAUCAUGUUCUAUUUGUUGAUGUUUAUGCUUGCAAGUUUUGAUACCUUCUAAUUUAUAUCAUUGUAGGUUAUGGAACUAAGUACCUAUCGUCGAUUGAGCAGUUUCCCUGCGCACUUCCCCACACACCCGAAAUCAGUGUUCAUGUGAUCCCAUUGGAUUCAGUCCCACCGGGUAAGGCUGAAGUAUCAAUCGACCGCCUAAAUUAUUCUAGAUUUAUUCAAGAAAUAAAGUAGAGAUUUUAAUAACUAUAUUAGUUAUUAAUGGAAAGCUUUAAAUCUCUAACAACUCUAAACCCUCCAACUUCUUUGUUGCUUUGUUGCUUACUGUCUCUCUAAAUUCCUAACAGCCGAUCCACUUUUCUCCAUCGACUCGUUAUCCCAAACUCUCAGCUGUAGCAGGUUAGUAUUUCUAGGAAAUGUUUUUAUUUAUUUAUUUAGCUAAGUGAUUUGAAAAUUGUGGGAAGUUCCUGUUGAUUGAUCAAUAAUGCAGUUCAAUGCUAAGGGAUUCUAAUAACAAGUUGCAUUUGUAUGUUUAACGCGUACAGUUUUGAUAAUUUUUGCUAUUGCGUCUUUACUUUUUGUUUAAUUUUAUCGGGUAUGCAAUUGGAGUAUCGAAAUUUGGGUUAGCAAGUAAAUCGGGCUAAAUUGGAGCACAAACAAUAGAAAUUGGCUGAAUUGAAAUUUUUGAGAAAUUUAUGAUUGAUCAGAUUUUCUAUUUGACUUUGUAAAAGCUAGAUUUAGAAAAAAAAUUGAUAUAAAAUCUGAUUUGAUGUGGUUGGUUGUUAGAUGAAUUAGAUUAAUUUUAGCAUAUCAGAUGUGUAUACCUUGUAUGGUUGCCUUUGGAAAACACACUGGAAGUUGAAUGUAACAAUUUAUUUCUUUCUUUUCUUUCACGCGGCAGUGCUAAUUCAAACAUUCUGCUAUUCUUUUUCCAUUUUAUUAAUUUAGAUUUAAUUGUUUAUCAAGUCCUUUAUCCGUUCUUCCAUUCAUCAUUACCAUUAAAUUCCUUUUAUAAACCAACAAGGCGGACAUUAAAGGGGCCACAGGUGACUUGUGUAUACAGAAGUAGGUUCUCCUUGAACCUUUGAAGGGAGCCCAAGAUAUUCUGGGAAGUUUGCUGCUUGAAAGCUGCCAGCACCUUCCACUACUUCAAAAGGGUAGUAUCAACCUACUCUUGACACUCCUUAAUGAUCCUUUCCACUUCGAUGGAGUGCCUCAGAGUGACCUUCUUUAGAUUUGCCUCCACGAUUAUGUGCCUAUCCUUUUCGACAGCGAGCUCAACUUCACACUCCUCUGCUUUAGUUUCCAUCAUCACCAGGCGCUCGGUGAUGACUCACUGUUGCUCAUUUAUUAUUUUAUUUUUUUCUCUCACCUUUUUGUACAGCUCGCGUACCCUGUUUAGAUCAUCCCGAGUAUCAACGAGCUCCUUAUCACGGGCCUCCGUGUACCUCAAUCCAAGAGUGCCAACCUUAGACAAUAGGCGGUGUAAAGAUAAGGGUAAGUCCUCUACAGCCUCAACAGGCACCCUUUCACCUGUGGGAGCCAUCGGAGAAUUUUCGCAAACAGGAGAGAAAGAGUAUCGUCGGUAAUAGUAAUCGAUGAGCUCGCUUGGCCAACGAUUGGCAAGUUCGUUGGAGGGGAAGAAUGGAUAGGGGUAACUAUAGUAGCAAAGCCUCCACUAUCAACCAUCAUCUUCUAGCGGUGCUCCAGUUAAGGACCACUACCUUCCUCCUCACUAGAGGGGUUGACAUGUGUGGCCUAAGUUGAAGUCCCGCGCCUCUUGCGACUACCACUUAUUAAAACAUCAAUGUCCAUGGCUUCAUUAUGCUCGUGUGAGAUGCUAUCACUAUCAGUGUCGCUUAAACUACCUUCGCUGCCCUGAUUGCCUCUUGCACCACCAAGAACAAUAGAAUCAGUAGAAGUAAGUGACAAGUGAGUACCUCUAACCCCUUCUCUUGCUCAAAUUUUGGGAAGGCAAAGGGACGAAGCGCUAUCCUGUAAUAGUGGUAGAAGUAGUUAGCGAGUUUCCUCAUGCGCCCCGUCAAUUUUAUCUCCAUAGGGUAGAGGGAAUCAAUGGGCUAAAUACCCCUCGUUGGUGGCCCACCAACUGAUCACGCGACCUCUUAAUUCUCGUCAACCCUCUAACCAUUCGGGAAAAAAUUCUCCAGACAGAUGCUCCUAGCAAUUUGAACCUAUAAACUAAAAAAAUAGUUUCAUCAUUUUUUCUUUAAAAACAGAGAGAAAGCUCUCUCUCUCUCUUCUCCGGCCAUGGGCCAACGUGCCGGCCGCCGUGCAUGGCGGAGGAGAGACCAAAAGUUUCCCCCUUUUUUGCUUUCUGCCCCUCGAGCACUCCGGUACCACCGAACAAAGGUAAAAAACCCUUUUUUUUCUUUUAUUUCAAAUAUAAAUAAUAAAAUAGCAAGAAAAAGAACAAAAAGAAAAAGAAGGCCACCACCUUAAAACACGAUUUCGGUUCUUUUAUUUCUCAAAAUGUUGUUUUUUUUCUUUUGCUUUUGAUUCACUAGUGUCUCCCCCUUUACAAUGGUUUGCAAUCGGUUUCUUUAUACCGAAAUAAAAAACGAAAUCCCUCCAAAAAUUACAUUUUACUCGGCUUUUAUAGCCGAUUGCUACUGCUUGUAUUGUCUUUGCUUGCUUUUUUCUUCUUUGCAGGUGGCGGUGCAAGUAGCCGAUGUGACAAUGGCGGUGGCGGUGGCAGGAGACCAAAAGUCUUCAUGUGUGGCACUAGGGCUAGGGGGCAGGAGGCUGCGGCGCUAGGGUUUCAGUUUUUGAAACCCUAGGCUGACUUUGGGGGGAUUGGGCCUGUUGGGCCUCGGGCUGUAAUGGGUAUUGGGUUUGCUGGGCUUCGGGUUAAAAUUUUGUAAAGGGACUGUUGGCUUUAUUUUUGGGCCGGGCAAAAUAUGGGCCUUACACUAUAUACAAGAGUGGAGUGGAUGAUCUCUAUUUAUAAUUUCUACCUCUUAUAUAUCUAACGAAUAAUAUUCACUCAAACGGAAGAUCAAUAUCAAUUUUAGUCUAAAAUAUCUACACUAAAGGAAUUUAGCUUAAGUAAGG